GACUGUUCCAGUGGCUUAGUGGUUAGAGUGUCUGCUUUGGGUGUGGGUGGUCGCAGCUUCAAACCUUGGCCAAGUCA
Non-coding RNA from Potamilus streckersoni, 77 nucleotides. NCBI's taxonomy places the organism in Eukaryota, Metazoa, Mollusca, Bivalvia, Unionida, Unionidae. The record is from the annotation of a GenBank genome assembly.